UUAAUACUCCCUCCGUCCGAAAAUACUUUUCUAAGAAUGGAUAAAAUGGAUGUAUCUAUAACUAAGUAAGUCUAGAUACAACCAUUUUUAGGACAAGUAUUUCCGGACGGAGGGAGUACAUG
This is a non-coding RNA of Triticum aestivum (bread wheat), 122 nucleotides long. NCBI's taxonomy places the organism in Eukaryota, Viridiplantae, Streptophyta, Magnoliopsida, Poales, Poaceae. The record is from Rfam.